CUCUGUCAAACUAAGCGUAAGUGGUUCACAGUCUGUACCACAGCUAAAUUUAAAAGCUGAGAACCCACUCUAUCAACAUUAAACAGCGGCAGUUCCUGUAAGUUUUUAAGGGUUAUUGGAAGAUGACUUUACUUGUCUUCAUACAGUUUCACCUAAAUUAUGUUGGUGCUGUUGCUUUAGGACCUUCAGACCUGGAUGGGGACGUAUGAUAAGGAUCCUGGUUCUCAGGCCUUCUGGUCUGCACUGUAGCUAUACCUCCAGCUUUCCUGUGCUGUCAGUUUGGAGACAGCAGGUCAUGAGACUUCACUGCAUUCAUAAUUAUGUGAGCCAGUUUGUCAUGGUAAAUAUGUAUGUAUGCAUGUAUGUAUCCAUCCAUCCAUCCUGUUGAUUCUGUUUCUCUGGAGAACGCUGAUUAAAACACCUCUCUGCCUUCAGAACCCUUUUUCUUUCCUCUGACGUAUUAAUACUUUGAAUUUUAUAGAGAGAUAUUACAUGAGCAGAUGUGGCAACAUUAUUGAAUAUAAAAUGGUUAAUUUUGCUGCAUCACCCAAUUUUCUUACUCUGAUAAAAACUAUAAUGUAAGAAAUGAGAUAAUAAUUAUAAGUGAUUAUGACAAGUGUAAUAAUAACAUCACUUUUAUGGGGAAAUAAGGAAAAGCAAUAAUUUAUAAUGAAAUAAAAACUAAUGAUCAACAUA
Molecule: long non-coding RNA, 696 nt
Filed under: Homo sapiens (human)
Lineage: Eukaryota; Metazoa; Chordata; Mammalia; Primates; Hominidae
Description: non-protein coding LINC02429:3
Source: RNAcentral